GACGAACGCUGGCGGCGUGCCUAAUACAUGCAAGUAGAACGCUGAAGGAGGAGCUUGCUUCUCCGGAUGAGUUGCGAGCGGGUGAGUAACGCGUAGGUAACCUGCCUGGUAGCGGGGGAUAACUAUUGGAAACGAUAGCUAAUACCGCAUAACAGUAGAUAUUGCAUGAUAUCUGCUUGAAAGGUGCAAUUGCAUCACUACCAGAUGGACCUGCGUUGUAUUAGCUAGUUGGUGAGGUAACGGCUCACCAAGGCGACGAUACAUAGCCGACCUGAGAGGGUGAUCGGCCACACUGGGACUGAGACACGGCCCAGACUCCUACGGGAGGCAGCAGUAGGGAAUCUUCGGCAAUAGACGGAAGUCUGACCGAGCAACGCCGCGUGAGUGAAGAAGGUUUUCGGAUCGUAAAGCUCUGUUGUAAGAGAAGAACGAGUGUGAGAGUGGAAAGUUCACACUGUGACGGUAUCUUACCAGAAAGGGACGGCUAACUACGUG
This 495-nucleotide ribosomal RNA is filed under the name uncultured bacterium. RNAcentral describes it as "partial 16S ribosomal RNA". It matches the Rfam family "Bacterial small subunit ribosomal RNA", at positions 28 to 507 of the family's 1533-position model. The record is from RNAcentral.